UACGUAGGUGGCAAGCGUUAUCCGGAUUUACUGGGUGUAAAGGGUGCGUAGGCGGCCCCUUAAGUCUAAAGUGAAAUUUCGAGGCUCAACCUCGGAGCUGCUUUGGAAACUGAGGGGCUAGAGUGUGGGAGAGGAAAGCGGAACUUUGAGUGUAGCGGUGAAAUGCGUAGAGAUUCAAAGGAACACCAGUAGCGAAGGCGGCUUUCUGGACCAUAAACUGACGCUGAGGCACGAAAGCGUGGGGAGCAAACAGGAUUAGAUACCCCUGUAGUCCCUGAG
Molecule: ribosomal RNA, 279 nt
Filed under: uncultured prokaryote
Description: partial 16S ribosomal RNA
Rfam family: Bacterial small subunit ribosomal RNA
Source: RNAcentral